Molecule: transfer RNA, 72 nt
Filed under: Candidatus Bathyarchaeota archaeon
Lineage: Archaea; Thermoproteati; Candidatus Bathyarchaeota
Description: tRNA-Cys
Rfam family: tRNA
About the family: Transfer RNA (tRNA) molecules are approximately 80 nucleotides in length. Their secondary structure includes four short double-helical elements and three loops (D, anti-codon, and T loops). Further hydrogen bonds mediate the characteristic L-shaped molecular structure. tRNAs have two regions of fundamental functional importance: the anti-codon, which is responsible for specific mRNA codon recognition, and the 3' end, to which the tRNAs corresponding amino acid is attached (by aminoacyl-tRNA synthetases). tRNAs cope with the degeneracy of the genetic code in two manners: having more than one tRNA (with a specific anti-codon) for a particular amino acid; and 'wobble' base-pairing, i.e. permitting non-standard base-pairing at the 3rd anti-codon position.
Source: RNAcentral
GCCGGGUUGGCUGAGCGGUUAGGCGACCGCCUGCAGAGCGGUAGCACGAAGGUUCGAAUCCUUCGCCCGGCU